GAUGAACGCUGGCGGCGUGCCUAAUACAUGCAAGUCGAGCGAACGGACGAGAAGCUUGCUUCUCUGAUGUUAGCGGCGGACGGGUGAGUAACACGUGGAUAACCUACCUAUAAGACUGGGAUAACUUCGGGAAACCGGAGCUAAUACCGGAUAAUAUUAUGAACCGCAUGGUUCAAAAGUGAAAGACGGUCUUGCUGUCACUUAUAGAUGGAUCCGCGCUGCAUUAGCUAGUUGGUAAGGUAACGGCUUACCAAGGCAACGAUGCAUAGCCGACCUGAGAGGGUGAUCGGCCACACUGGAACUGAGACACGGUCCAGACGCCUACGGGGGGCAGCAGUAGGGAAUCUUCCGCGAUGGGCGAAAGCCUGACGGAGAAACGCCGCGUGAGUGAUGAAGGUCUUCGGAUCGUAAAACUCUGUUAUUAGGGAAGAACAUAUGUGUAAGUAACUGUGCACAUCUUGACGGUACCUAAUCAGAAAGCCACGGCUAACUACGUG
Molecule: ribosomal RNA, 497 nt
Filed under: uncultured bacterium
Lineage: Bacteria
Description: partial 16S ribosomal RNA
Rfam family: Bacterial small subunit ribosomal RNA
Source: RNAcentral